Molecule: non-coding RNA, 206 nt
Organism: Oryza glaberrima (African rice)
Lineage: Eukaryota; Viridiplantae; Streptophyta; Magnoliopsida; Poales; Poaceae
Source: Rfam
AAUAGAUGACGCUAUUGACUUUUUUUUUCACAUGUUUGACCAUUCGUCUUAUUCAGAAAAUUUACAUAAUUAUAAUUUAUUUUGCUAUGAGUUGUUUUAUCACUUAUAGUACUUUAAGUGUGAUUUAUAUCUUAUACAUUCGCAUAAAAUUUUUGAAUAAGAUGAAUGGUCAAACAUGUAAGAAAAAGUCAACGGCGUCAUCUAUU